GGUUAAGCGACUAAGCGUACACGGUGGAUGCCCUGGCAGUCAGAGGCGAUGAAGGACGUGCUAAUCUGCGAUAAGCGUCGGUAAGGUGAUAUGAACCGUUAUAACCGGCGAUUUCCGAAUGGGGAAACCCAGUGUGAUUCGUCACACUAUCAUUAACUGAAUCCAUAGGUUAAUGAGGCGAACCGGGGAACUGAAACAUCUAAGUACCCCGAGGAAAAGAAAUCAACCGAGAUUCCCCCAGUAGCGGCGAGCGAACGGGGAGCAGCCCAGAGCCUGAAUCAGUGUGUGUGUUAGUGGAAGCGUCUGGAAAGGCGCGCGAUACAGGAGUGACAGCCCCGUACACAAAAAUGCACAUAUUGUGAGCUCGAUGAGUAGGGCGGGACACGUGGUAUCCUGUCUGAAUAUGGGGGGCCCAUCCUCCAAGGCUAAAUACUCCUGACUGACCGAUAGUGAACCAGUACCGUGAGGGAAAGGCGAAAAGAACCCCGGCGAGGGGAGUGAAAAGAACCUGAAACCGUGUACGUACAAGCAGUGGGAGCACGCUUAGGCGUGUGACUGCGUACCUUUUGUAUAAUGGGUCAGCGACUUAUAUUCUGUAGCAAGGUUAACCGAAUAGGGGAGCCGAAGGGAAACCGAGUCUUAACUGGGCGUUAAGUUGCAGGGUAUAGACCCGAAACCCGGUGAUCUAGCCAUGGGCAGGUUGAAGGUUGGGUAACACUAACUGGAGGACCGAACCGACUAAUGUUGAAAAAUUAGCGGAUGACUUGUGGCUGGGGGUGAAAGGCCAAUCAAACCGGGAGAUAGCUGGUUCUCCCCGAAAGCUAUUUAGGUAGCGCCUCGUGAAUUCAUCUCCGGGGGUAGAGCACUGUUUCGGCAAGGGGGUCAUCCCGACUUACCAACCCGAUGCAAACUGCGAAUACCGGAGAAUGUUAUCACGGGAGACACACGGCGGGUGCUAACGUCCGUCGUGAAGAGGGAAACAACCCAGACCGCCAGCUAAGGUCCCAAAGUCAUGGUUAAGUGGGAAACGAUGUGGGAAGGCCCAGACAGCCAGGAUGUUGGCUUAGAAGCAGCCAUCAUUUAAAGAAAGCGUAAUAGCUCACUGGUCGAGUCGGCCUGCGCGGAAGAUGUAACGGGGCUAAACCAUGCACCGAAGCUGCGGCAGCGACGCUUAUGCGUUGUUGGGUAGGGGAGCGUUCUGUAAGCCUGCGAAGGUGUGCUGUGAGGCAUGCUGGAGGUAUCAGAAGUGCGAAUGCUGACAUAAGUAACGAUAAAGCGGGUGAAAAGCCCGCUCGCCGGAAAGACCAAGGGUUCCUGUCCAACGUUAAUCGGGGCAGGGUGAGUCGACCCCUAAGGCGAGGCCGAAAGGCGUAGUCGAUGGGAAACAGGUUAAUAUUCCUGUACUUGGUGUUACUGCGAAGGGGGACGGAGAAGGCUAUGUUGGCCGGGCGACGGUUGUCCCGGUUUAAGCGUGUAGGCUGGUUUUCCGAGCAAAUCCGGAAAAUCAAGGCUGAGGCGUGAUGACGAGGCACUACGGUGCUGAAGCAACAAAUGCCCUGCUUCCAGGAAAAGCCUCUAAGCAUCAGGUAACAUCAAAUCGUACCCCAAACCGACACAGGUGGUCAGGUAGAGAAUACCAAGGCGCUUGAGAGAACUCGGGUGAAGGAACUAGGCAAAAUGGUGCCGUAACUUCGGGAGAAGGCACGCUGAUAUGUAGGUGAAGUCCCUUGCGGAUGGAGCUGAAAUCAGUCGAAGAUACCAGCUGGCUGCAACUGUUUAUUAAAAACACAGCACUGUGCAAACACGAAAGUGGACGUAUACGGUGUGACGCCUGCCCGGUGCCGGAAGGUUAAUUGAUGGGGUCAGCGCAAGCGAAGCUCUUGAUCGAAGCCCCGGUAAACGGCGGCCGUAACUAUAACGGUCCUAAGGUAGCGAAAUUCCUUGUCGGGUAAGUUCCGACCUGCACGAAUGGCGUAAUGAUGGCGGGCUGUCUCCACCCGAGACUCAGUGAAAUUGAACUCGCUGUGAAGAUGCAGUGUACCCGCGGCAAGACGGAAAGACCCCGUGAACCUUUACUAUAGCUUGACACUGAACAUUGAGCCUUGAUGUGUAGGAUAGGUGGGAGGCUUUGAAGUGUGGACGCCAGUCUGCAUGGAGCCGGCCUUGAAAUACCACCCUUUAAUGUUUGAUGUUCUAACGUGGACCCGUGAUCCGGGUUGCGGACAGUGUCUGGUGGGUAGUUUGACUGGGGCGGUCUCCUCCUAAAGAGUAACGGAGGAGCACGAAGGUUGGCUAAUCCUGGUCGGACAUCAGGAGGUUAGUGCAAUGGCAUAAGCCAGCUUGACUGCGAGCGUGACGGCGCGAGCAGGUGCGAAAGCAGGUCAUAGUGAUCCGGUGGUUCUGAAUGGAAGGGCCAUCGCUCAACGGAUAAAAGGUACUCCGGGGAUAACAGGCUGAUACCGCCCAAGAGUUCAUAUCGACGGCGGUGUUUGGCACCUCGAUGUCGGCUCAUCACAUCCUGGGGCUGAAGUAGGUCCCAAGGGGUAUGGCUGUUCGCCAUUUAAAGUGGUACGCGAGCUGGGUUUAGAACGUCGUGAGACAGUUCGGUCCCUAUCUGCCGUGGGCGCUGGAGAACUGAGGGGGCUGCUCCUAGUACGAGAGGACCGGAGUGGACGCAUCACUGGUGUUCGGGUUGUCAUGCCAAUGGCACUGCCCGGUAGCUAAAUGCGGAAGAGAUAAGUGCUGAAAGCAUCUAAGCACGAAACUUGCCCCGAGAUGAGUUCUCCCUGACCCUUUAAGGGUCCUGAAGGAACGUUGAAGACGACGACGUUGAUAGGCCGGGUGUGUAAGCGCAGCGAUGCGUUGAGCUAACCGGUACUAAUGAACCGUGAGGCUUAACCUU
This 2902-nucleotide ribosomal RNA is filed under the name Shigella sonnei. Its description in RNAcentral is "23S ribosomal RNA". It matches the Rfam family "Bacterial large subunit ribosomal RNA". The record is from RNAcentral. Lineage: Bacteria; Pseudomonadati; Pseudomonadota; Gammaproteobacteria; Enterobacterales; Enterobacteriaceae.